RNAcentral lists this long non-coding RNA (717 nucleotides) under Fukomys damarensis (Damara mole-rat). RNAcentral describes it as "lncRNA (ENSFDAG00000022393.1)". Lineage: Eukaryota; Metazoa; Chordata; Mammalia; Rodentia; Bathyergidae. The record is from RNAcentral.
GUGGCGGUAUCCCUUUAAGAGCCAUUUGGUACAAUUCAUAGCUUGAUUCGUGUCACCAGCUGCCUCUGAUUUCAGGAAGAAAUGCAGAAAUUUACAGGGAACUAUAAAAUGGGGACAGGUUUUUAGUUUUCUAAAUUGAGGUUUAACUGGCAAACUUCUGAAGGUUUAAGAAACCAUAAAGCUGGACGGUGGAAAGCUGGUUUCUUUUUCCGGUCAGAACAAAUAAACACACAAACACACAUCUAACUCUCAAAGUAUCUGGAGAGAGAAAUCAAUGCUCUUUGCAGAGGGGAGAAUGAAAAAGCAGCUUUGCGGGCACCAGGAGGACAGCCACAUUGGCCAGCAGGCAGCGAGCACGCUGUCCUGGCAGAAGGCGAAAUCUGAGCUUCAGCAGCGACGGGAGCAGAAUUUGCACAAACUCUCCUGUUUCAAGUUGCACGUCUCCGGAGUCCCAGGAAAGGCACCCAGCAUGGCCACAGCUCCCUUUGCAGAGCCCCAAGGGUUGCCGAGAAACACCACAACCUCCCACAAGACGCGCAGGUUCCCUAUAGAUGAGCUAAGAAACUGGUGAAUCACCCGCAAUCACAGAUAAGAAUCAAACUCUGGAUCGUUCAGCACAUUAACAGAAAUUACUGCUUCUGAGCUUCUUCCUUCAGUUCAUCAGAAUAAGGUGGGAAAUUAAAAAAAAUGCAGAUCCCUGAGCUUUGUUCCAAGAAA